AUGUCUCCACCAGUUCCUGUUCCCUCAUCCCGGAGGAAACGGCGCCCUCGCCACCGCCACUCCACCUGCAGCCUGUUCCCGCUGGAGGGUCCGAGGGGCCCGUCCAGCCUCCUGUUCCCGCUGGAGGGUCCGAGGGGCCCGUCCAGCCUCCUGUUCCCGCUGGAGGGUCCGAGGGGCCCGUCCAGCCUUCGUCUGCCUCGCCUGGAGGGUCCAAGGGGCCCGUCCAGCCUUCUGUUCCCGCUGGGGGUUCUGGAGAACCGCACCAGCCUUCUGCCUCCGCUGGAGGGUCCGAGGGGCCCGUCCAGCCGCAGCCACCUGUCUCCGCUGGAGGGUCCGAGGGGCCCGUCCAGCCGCAGCCACCUGUCUCCGCUGGAAGGUCCGAGGGCCCGUCCAGCCGCAGCCACCUGUCUCCGCUGGAGGGUCCGAGGGCCCGUCCAGCCUUCUGUCUCCGCUGGAGGGUCCGAGGGGCCCGUCCAGCCUUCUGUCUCCGCUGGAGGGUCCGAGGGGCCCGUCCAGCCACCUGUCUCCGCUGGAGGGUCCGAGGGCCCGUCCAGCCACCUGUCUCCGCUGGAGGGUCCGAGGGGCCCGUCCAGCCACCUGUCUCCGCUGGAGGGUCCGAGGGCCCGUCCAGCCACCUGUCUCCGCUGGAGGGUCCGAGGGGCCCGUCCAGCCACCUGUCUCCGCUGGAGGGUCCGAGGGCCCGUCCAGCCACCUGUCUCCGCUGGAGGGUCCGAGGGGCCCGUCCAGCCACCUGUCUCCGCUGGAGGGUCCGAGGGGCCCGUCCAGCCUCCUGCCUCGUCAGCUGGAGGGCCCGAGGAGCCCGUCCAGCCUCCUGCCUCGUCAGCUGGGGAUCUUGGAGGACCCACCCAACCCAUCCUCAUCUCUACUGACGGUUCCGGGGAGACCGUUCAGCCACCACCUACGCCGUCGCCUGCAGUGCCACCGCCUGCGGCUCCCACGCCGUCGCCUGCAGUGCCACCGCCUGUUUCGUCGCCUGCAGCUUCAUCCUCGCCUGGUCCAGCCCCAGCUUCAGCGCCUGCAGUGCCUACGCCGUCGCCUGGUCCAGCCCCAGCUUCAGCGUCGCCUGCAGUGCCACCACCUGCGGCUCCCACGCCGUCGCCCGCAGCGCCACCAUCUGUUUCGUCGCCUCUGGCUUCUGCUUCGCCGUCGUCUGGUCCAGCUCUGGCUUCUGCUUCGCCGUCGCCUGGUCCAGCUCUGGCUUCUGCUUCGCCGUCGCCUGGUCCAGCUCUGGCUUCUGCUUCGCCGUCGCCUGGUCCAGCUCUGGCUUCUGCUUCGCCGUCGCCUGGUCCAGCUCUGGCUUCUGCCUCGCCGUCGCCUGAUCCGGCUUCGGCUUCAGCUCCGCCUGUCCGUCCUGUCCGUCCUGUCCGGCCUGUCCGGCCUGUCCGUCCUGCACGUCCUGUCCGGCCGCUUUCCUGGCCAAUGACUGGAUGUCCUCGCCGUCGUGGACGGCCUCCUGACCUGCUCCGUCGCCGCCGGUGCCUCCCGCCCGGCCGGCCUCCUGAACUUUUUCUGGACUCUUGGGCCAUCGUCCUCCGGGCCGGCCCCCUGAACCGCCCGGAUUUGCACUGUUAUGCCGUCAACCUCCGGGCCGGCCCCCUGAACCUUUUCGAGACUGUUGCCUGGGCCUCUGCGCCUUUCAUGGGCCCUUUUGUUUGUUUUCUUUUGGACUGUUCCUGGGCCUCAGUGCUGUUGUUUUGUUCUGUUUUGGACUUUGUUCCCUGUGUUUUGGUUUCUGGUUCCUUGUGUUUCGUUUGUUUCGUGCCCUCCGUCCUGUUUCCCCCACCGCCCACCCUGGUUGGGUUGUUUUUGUUUUUGGGGUUCUGGUUUGGGCUGUCUGGAAGCCAGCCCUUAAGGGGGGGGUACUGUUAG
This 1890-nucleotide long non-coding RNA is filed under the name Oreochromis niloticus (Nile tilapia). RNAcentral's name for it is "lncRNA (ENSONIG00000040914.1)". Lineage: Eukaryota; Metazoa; Chordata; Actinopteri; Cichliformes; Cichlidae. The record is from RNAcentral.